CCUACGGGUGGCAGCAGUGAGGAAUAUUGGUCAAUGGACGAGAGCCUGAACCAGCCAAGUAGCGUGAAGGAUGACAGCCCUAUGGGUUGUAAACUUCUUUUAUAUGGGAAUAAAAUGCUCCACGUGUGGGGUUUUGUAUGUACCAUAUGAAUAAGCAUCGGCUAAUUCCGUGCCAGCAGCCGCGGUAAUACGGAGGAUCCGAGCGUUAUCCGGAUUUAUUGGGUUUAAAGGGAGCGUAGGCGGGUUCUUAAGUCAGCCGGGAAAGUUUGCGGCUCAACCGUUACAGUGCAGUUGAAACUGGGAGUCUUGAGUACGCGAGGGGUAGACGGAAUUCGUGGUGUAGCGGUGAAAUGCUUAGAUAUCACGAAGAACUCCGAUUGCGAAGGCAGCGCACUGGA
This 398-nucleotide ribosomal RNA is filed under the name uncultured bacterium. RNAcentral's name for it is "partial 16S ribosomal RNA". It matches the Rfam family "Bacterial small subunit ribosomal RNA", at positions 338 to 733 of the family's 1533-position model. The record is from RNAcentral.